AGCGAACGCUGGCGGCAGGCUUAACACAUGCAAGUCGAGCGGGCACUUUCGGGUGUCAGCGGCGGACGGGUGAGUAACGCGUGGGAACGUGCCCUCUGGUUCGGAAUAACUCAGGGAAACUUGAGCUAAUACCGGAUACGCCCUUUUGGGGAAAGGCUUGCUGCCGGAGGAUCGACCCGCGUCUGAUUAGCUAGUUGGUGAGGUAACGGCUCACCAAGGCGACGAUCAGUAGCUGGUCUGAGAGGAUGAUCAGCCACACUGGGACUGAGACACGGCCCAGACUCCUACGGGAGGCAGCAGUGGGGAAUAUUGGACAAUGGGCGCAAGCCUGAUCCAGCCAUGCCGCGUGAGUGAUGAAGGCCUUAGGGUUGUAAAGCUCUUUUAUCCGGGACGAUAAUGACGGUACCGGAGGAAUAAGCCCCGGCUAACUUCGUG
This 435-nucleotide ribosomal RNA is filed under the name uncultured bacterium. Its description in RNAcentral is "partial 16S ribosomal RNA". It matches the Rfam family "Bacterial small subunit ribosomal RNA", at positions 29 to 507 of the family's 1533-position model. The record is from RNAcentral.